This 329-nucleotide unclassified non-coding RNA is filed under the name soil metagenome. RNAcentral describes it as "partial contains 5.8S ribosomal RNA, internal transcribed spacer 2, and large subunit ribosomal RNA". The stretch from base 1 to 120 matches the Rfam family "5.8S ribosomal RNA", at positions 35 to 154 of the family's 154-position model. The record is from RNAcentral.
GAUGAAGAACGUAGCGAAAUGCGAUAAGUAAUGUGAAUUGCAGAAUUCAGUGAAUCAUCGAAUCUUUGAACGCACAUUGCGCCCCCUGGUAUUCCGGGGGGCAUGCCUGUCCGAGCGUCAUUACAACCCUCAAGCUCAGCUUGGUAUUGGGCCCCGCCGCUCCGGCGGGCCCUAAAGUCAGUGGCGGUGCCGUCCGGCUCCGAGCGUAGUAAUUCUUCUCGCUCUGGAGGUCCGGUCGUGUGCUCGCCAGCAACCCCCAAUUUUUUUCAGGUUGACCUCGGAUCAGGUAGGGAUACCCGCUGAACUUAAGCAUAUCAAUAAGCGGAGGA